Molecule: transfer RNA, 77 nt
Filed under: Acidobacteriota bacterium
Lineage: Bacteria; Pseudomonadati; Acidobacteriota
Description: tRNA-Asn
Rfam family: tRNA
About the family: Transfer RNA (tRNA) molecules are approximately 80 nucleotides in length. Their secondary structure includes four short double-helical elements and three loops (D, anti-codon, and T loops).
Source: RNAcentral
UCAGGGAUAGUUCAAUUGGUAGAACGCCGCACUGUUAAUGCGGAAGUUUCCGGGUUCGAAUCCCGGUCCCUGAGCCA